ACACAUAAAAAUGUUAAAGAAUGUUUUAAGCCUCUAUAAAACCUACCUUACCUCAACCUUAUGAUUUCAAUUUUCAAGACAAUAAAAGGGGAGAGAUUUAUGGCUAAAAAUGAUGCACGAUAUGCAAUUGCAUUGUUGAUAAUUAUAAUAGUAGUUAUUUGUUCUGUUAUUAUGGGAUUCCAUGACACUAUUUUUGAACAACGUUGGACUACACCUUAUUAUAUUGGAUCUGAUCUGUUGAAACCAUGUAUAGCUAGAUGCCAUAGAAACUUUCCUUAUCACGAGAUUACUAGGUUUUUGUGCAUUCGGAAAUGCUAUGAUCACCAUGGAUCGAAUAAGUUAAGCUCGCGCAGGGGCGCUCACGUUUUUUGGCUGAGCCGUAUCUUGCUGGGUGGGACCGAGAGCAAGAAAGGAAGGGGGACAACCAUGCAUGGUACUUCUCGACCGUGUCUCCGAAGAACAGUUGAACGAGCGACUCAUGAAUGCUGUCGGGUUGGAUGAGCCAAUAACUCGAACGCGUUCGGUCUGUUUUUUGAGCAAGAAUCACAACGUUACCUUACCUUCACUAUGAUACGGACUCCAAAUUUUCAAAAAUUUUAAUUUCUUGCAUCUCCUCUUUCUGAAAGUAUUGAAGGGACUAAACUUUCGUGUCAUGAGAUUGAAAUUCUAAUUUUAGUCUCUCUGACCACUAAAUACAAUAUCGAAUUACAGUUUCCAAA
This is a non-coding RNA of Arachis ipaensis, 719 nucleotides long. Lineage: Eukaryota; Viridiplantae; Streptophyta; Magnoliopsida; Fabales; Fabaceae. The record is from RefSeq and is a predicted model, not a curated record.